This 730-nucleotide ribosomal RNA is filed under the name uncultured fungus. RNAcentral's name for it is "eukaryotic LSU rRNA". The stretch from base 278 to 432 matches the Rfam family "5.8S ribosomal RNA". The record is from RNAcentral. Lineage: Eukaryota; Fungi.
GAAGGAUCAUUAUCGAAUUUGGAUCCGAAGGGGAAGGACGAGCGAGCGAAGUUUGCAGAAGCAUUAGAGAUGGUCGCUGGCCUUUGGAAACGAAGGCAUGUGCACGUCUCGGUCCUCGUUCUCUUUCCUUUCGUAAAUCUUUGACACCCGUGCACCUCUUGUAGGUCCCUGCGAGGGGACCUAUGUCUUCACAAACUCUUUGUAUGUCCAGGAAUGUAUCUAAAGCGUCGACCGGCUUGGCUGAACGUCCAGUCGGCGACGGUAAAGAACGUAAUACAACUUUCAGCAACGGAUCUCUUGGCUCUCGCAUCGAUGAAGAACGCAGCGAAUUGCGAUAAGUAAUGUGAAUUGCAGAUUUUCAGUGAAUCAUCGAAUCUUUGAACGCACCUUGCGCUCCUUGGUAUUCCGAGGAGCAUGCCUGUUUGAGUGUCAUUUAAUUCUCAACCAUCCCUCGAUUGAUCUUUCGAGGUUUGGCUUGGAUUUUGGGAGCUGCCGGCGACCGAUCGGGUCUUUGGCUCUCCUCAAAAGCAUUAGCGACGGCGGUGUGACCUCCCCCGUGCAUGAACGGCCUUCGACGUGAUAAUGAUCGUCGUGGGCUGGAGUGCUAGCGGGCGUCGCGUCGCGUUCGGCGCUUCUAAUCCUCGUCGAAAGACGAAAUAUAUCGAAACUUGACCUCAAAUCAGGUAGGACUACCCGCUGAACUUAAGCAUAUCAAUAAGCGGAGGAAAAG